UCCCAUAUGGUCUAGUGGUUAGGAUUUGGCGCUUUCACCGCCUAGGCUCGGGUUCAAUUCCCGGUGUGUGAA
RNAcentral lists this transfer RNA (72 nucleotides) under Saccoglossus kowalevskii. RNAcentral describes it as "tRNA-Glu". It matches the Rfam family "tRNA". Rfam says of the family: Transfer RNA (tRNA) molecules are approximately 80 nucleotides in length. Their secondary structure includes four short double-helical elements and three loops (D, anti-codon, and T loops). Further hydrogen bonds mediate the characteristic L-shaped molecular structure. tRNAs have two regions of fundamental functional importance: the anti-codon, which is responsible for specific mRNA codon recognition, and the 3' end, to which the tRNAs corresponding amino acid is attached (by aminoacyl-tRNA synthetases). tRNAs cope with the degeneracy of the genetic code in two manners: having more than one tRNA (with a specific anti-codon) for a particular amino acid; and 'wobble' base-pairing, i.e. permitting non-standard base-pairing at the 3rd anti-codon position. The record is from RNAcentral. Lineage: Eukaryota; Metazoa; Hemichordata; Enteropneusta; Harrimaniidae.